Molecule: transfer RNA, 89 nt
Filed under: Grifola frondosa (maitake)
Lineage: Eukaryota; Fungi; Basidiomycota; Agaricomycetes; Polyporales; Grifolaceae
Rfam family: tRNA
About the family: Transfer RNA (tRNA) molecules are approximately 80 nucleotides in length. Their secondary structure includes four short double-helical elements and three loops (D, anti-codon, and T loops).
Source: Rfam by way of RNAcentral
ACACUGAUGGUGAAACGGUAUCAUGCUUGCCUUCCAUCUCCCUCACCCACACGUAGCAAGCGGCGCGGGUUCGACUCCCGCUCAGUGUA